GAUGAAUGCUGGCGGCGUGCCUAACACAUGCAAGUCGAGCGGCAGCGCGGGGUGCUUGCACCCUGUCGGCGAGCGGCGAACGGCUGAGUAACGCGUAGGAAUUUGCCCCAAAGUGAGGAAUAACUGCCCGAAAGGGUAGCUAAUGCCGCAUAUGGUCUUCGGAUUAAAGGAUUUAUCCGCUUUGGGAGAAGCCUGCGUUGGAUUAGGUUGUUGGUAGGGUAAUGGCCUACCAAGCCGACGAUCCAUAGCUGGUCUGAGAGGAUGAUCAGCCAGACUGGAACUGGGACACGGUCGAGACUCUUACGGGAGGCAGCAGUGAGGAAUCUUGCAAAAUGGGCGGAAGCCUGAUGGAGCAACGCCGGGUGAAGGAUGAAGGCCUUCGGGUUGUAAACUUCUUUUAUGAGUGAAGAAUAUGACGGUACCUGAUGGAUAAGCACCGGCUAACUACGUG
Molecule: ribosomal RNA, 451 nt
Filed under: uncultured bacterium
Lineage: Bacteria
Description: partial 16S ribosomal RNA
Rfam family: Bacterial small subunit ribosomal RNA
Source: RNAcentral